Molecule: ribosomal RNA, 502 nt
Filed under: Psychrobacter sp. AP4M1
Lineage: Bacteria; Pseudomonadati; Pseudomonadota; Gammaproteobacteria; Moraxellales; Moraxellaceae
Description: bacterial SSU rRNA
Rfam family: Bacterial small subunit ribosomal RNA
Source: RNAcentral
GGAAUAUUGGACAAUGGGGGAAACCCUGAUCCAGCCAUGCCGCGUGUGUGAAGAAGGCCUUUUGGUUGUAAAGCACUUUAAGCAGUGAAGAAGACUCCGUGGUUAAUACCCACGGACGAUGACAUUAGCUGCAGAAUAAGCACCGGCUAACUCUGUGCCAGCAGCCGCGGUAAUACAGAGGGUGCAAGCGUUAAUCGGAAUUACUGGGCGUAAAGGGAGCGUAGGUGGCUCUAUAAGUCAGAUGUGAAAUCCCCGGGCUUAACCUGGGAACUGCAUCUGAAACUGUAGAGCUAGAGUAUGUGAGAGGAAGGUAGAAUUCCAGGUGUAGCGGUGAAAUGCGUAGAGAUCUGGAGGAAUACCGAUGGCGAAGGCAGCCUUCUGGCAUAAUACUGACACUGAGGCUCGAAAGCGUGGGUAGCAAACAGGAUUAGAUACCCUGGUAGUCCACGCCGUAAACGAUGUCUACUAGUCGUUGGGUCCCUUGAGGACUUAGUGACGCAGC